CCUACGGGUGGCAGCAGUGAGGAAUCUUCGUCAAUGGCCGAGAGGCUGAACGAGCCAAGUCGCGUGAGGGAAGACGGCCCUACGGGCUGUAAACCUCUUUUGUCGGGGAGAAAAGCGAACCACGUGGGGAUCAUUGAGAGUAACCGAAGAAAAAGCAUCAGCUAACUCCGUGCCCGCAGCCGCGGUAAUACGGAGGAUGCGAGCGUUAUCCGGAUUUAUUGGGUUUAAAGGGUGCGCAGGCGGAGGUGCAAGUCAGCGGUUAAAUUGCGGGGCUCAACCCCGUACUGCCUUUGAAACUGCGAGACUAGAGUGAAGGAGGGGGGAGUGGAAUUCUCGGUGUAGCAGUGAAAUGCGUAGAUAUCGAGAGGAACACUCGUGGCGAAGGCGGGUUCCUGGACAUUAACUGACGCUGAGGCACGAAGGCCAGGGGAGCGAAAGGGAUUAGAUACCCUUGUAGUC
This 459-nucleotide ribosomal RNA is filed under the name uncultured bacterium. RNAcentral's name for it is "partial 16S ribosomal RNA". It matches the Rfam family "Bacterial small subunit ribosomal RNA", at positions 338 to 795 of the family's 1533-position model. The record is from RNAcentral.